Molecule: long non-coding RNA, 2278 nt
Organism: Passer domesticus (house sparrow)
Lineage: Eukaryota; Metazoa; Chordata; Aves; Passeriformes; Passeridae
Exons: 4
Source: RefSeq, a predicted model, not a curated record
ACUCCAUAAUACAGCAUAGGUGCAGCAGAGCUGUUUACAUGCUAGUCCUUUAACCACUUGGCCGCUUAAGGUGAAAACAGCCUGCAGUUUAUUUCCCUUGUAUUUUCUGCCAGAGCCUAGGUGAUUUGCUAGAAUGAAUUACUCAAGAGGUAAUGAACAAAACCUAAGGGUUAAAAGUAAACUAUGAUUAAGACUUCAUCCUCAUCUCCACAUUUAUCUCAUUUCUGUAGUGACCUGGCAGAGGAAAGACUCAAUUUCUGACCAUGAAUAUUGCUGGCUAGAGAAGGUACUUAAAGGGGACCUUUUGGCUGCUGGUGUGUUUUAAGACUUAAGCCCCACAACUGAGAAAUUAAAACCUGCUUUGACAUAUGAAUGAACCAAAUGAGACCAUGAGGCUUCUGAGAAAAUUAUACAGCUCAACCUUGGUGCCUUCCAUCUGAGCGUCUCAAAACAAUAUACAAAAAUUAACAAAAUAGCAUGCCUGGAAGGCCUAUGGUAAGAUUUCCAGAGGACCUGAAGAGUGGAAAGAUUAGCAGUGCUCUGCUCAUGAGGCUGAUCCAAGGUGCUGAGCGAGGCUGUUUCAGUCCUGAGGAAGGACUCCUGUGCCUGGAAUCUGCUCUGUUUCUGACUGUUGUCCCAGGCAGUUCCCUUAGGUGGGAUUUCACAGUCCCAGCAAUACUGUGAUGAAGUCAAGGCUGGAACACCUUUUCCUGCAUGCGCCAGAGGUACUGUGGAUGCCGUGACCCACUGACAUCAUUUCAGGGGACACAGAAGCAAAUUGAGAAGAGGAUUUUUCUCUUAUAUUAUCUUUUCUUUACUUUCAUUUCAAAGAGGACAGGAAAAAAUGCAGAGACAGGAUUUUAGCCCUUCAUUUUAUAAUGUAAUUGAAAUGCCAAGAGACUGAAAAAAUUCAAUGUUGAUGAAGAAACGGAUGUUAGUGCAAUGAAGAAUAGCUCUGUCUUUGUCAGUCUGCAGUCUUUUAUGUGUCACAGGCUGUCACUUUCUAUUGCAUUUCAACUGACUAAUUACCCCAGUUUAUUAAAAGUGAAUAUGAAUUCACAUUUUUUACUUUGCCAUGUUCCAAGUGUUAGUGUUAUCAGGAGCUAUUACUGAAUGAUAGAUCCCACAGUUCUAGGCUUCCUCAUGUGGGCAAGUACAGAGCAAAUCUACCUCAAUAUCAAUGAAAACCAGAUAUAUUCAUUUAAGGGGGAAAUAUAUACUAUGUGCAGUACAUGCUCACAUCCAAGCAUUAAUCACCCUGGUGUGUCCCACAUGGCUCAGUGUAUUAUUAGAACCUCACUCACAGAGCAGAAGAGUGUCUGUAAGUGAUGAUGUUGGAAGGGUUGGACUUGAAUUAAAUGUACUCAUCGCUUCCUAAUGGGGAGGUAUUUUCUGACAGCUGUAAUGAAAACUGCUGCUCAUCAAAAGGUACUCUGUGUCCUAGCUCACAAAUUCAACCUCAGCUGCAAGUUGCACAUUUAAAUUUCAAAGUUUUUAUCUCUAGCCGCACUGGAGUGCACUUAUAAGUGCUGUGGAAGGGUCAAAUUAGAUGAAAUCAAAGCCCUGAUUCUACUGAAGAGGCAAUUUUAAGCUUUUGCAAUUGGAGCUGUGUGCUGUUAUAGGCUUAAAAAACCUCAUCAUCAAAAAUAAGGAUUUCUAGAAUAUGAUAAUUAUCACUUUGAUCUGUCCAACUCAGAUCCAGCAGUAACUAAAAUAUUUGAAAUUCCCCAUUCUGUAUAAAACAACACAUUCAUAUGAACAGGUGCAUAAACUACAAUAGUUCUAGUACAAUUGGUACCACAUUUAUUAUUGCUAGUUCUUCACAACUUCCCCUACAUUUUUGAGUGAGUGAUCAGAUUCCUUGGGAGGACAUUUGCACCACCUUUGGAGGAGUUGCAUACUGGCAUCAGCUUUAUGUGUAUUGGCAGUAAUAAUCAAUAAGAGGAAUAACAAUAACUUGGGAAGUUAUGUCGAUAGCAAGUGCUGGGAAAGAAUGGUGAUUCAGGUCUCGGAGGGAAAUGCCAUUUUGCCUGAAAGCAAAGCACACGUAGUCAACAGGAAAAGGGAGAGGGUUUCAUUCUUCUAGUGUUUUCCUAGUAGGUACUCAUUGUUUAUAACAAAAUGUAACUAUUGUAUGUUUUCCUAUGAUUUGAGAUAUUUACUAUUUCACAUGCUAAACAAAAUGUUCCUUCAUUAGAACAUAACAUAGUUGGAGGGAAUAAAUAUCACAUGACUGGCUGCAGUGGCAGUACUGUCAUCUUCUACAUUUACAAAAAUG